Molecule: ribosomal RNA, 253 nt
Filed under: uncultured bacterium
Lineage: Bacteria
Description: partial 16S ribosomal RNA
Rfam family: Bacterial small subunit ribosomal RNA
Source: RNAcentral
CGGACGGGUGAGUAAUGUCUGGGAAACUGCCUGAUGGAGGGGGAUAACUACUGGAAACGGUAGCUAAUACCGCAUAACGUCGCAAGACCAAAGAGGGGGACCUUCGGGCCUCUUGCCAUCAGAUGUGCCCAGAUGGGAUUUGCUAGUAGGUGGGGUAACGGCUCACCUAGGCGACGAUCCCUAGCUGGUCUGAGAGGAUGACCAGCCACACUGGAACUGAGACACGGUCCAGACUCCUACGGGAGGCAGCAUG